UGUUCGCCAAACAACUACGAGUCCUACUUAAAACUUAAAAGACUUGACGGUACUUCAUCACGGCCUAGAGGAGCCUGUCUAAUAACCGACAAUCCACGAUUAACCCCACCCCUUCUCGCCUUACAGUCUAUAUACCGCCGUCGCCAGCUUACCUUGUAAAAGAAAAAAAGUGAGCUAAACAGUACAACACUAAAACGACAGGUCGAGGUGUAACCUAUGAAAGGGACUAUGAUGGGCUACAUUCUUCAACCAAGAAUACGAAUAACACUAUGAAAUUAAUGCUUGAAGGCGGAUUUAGCAGUAAGAUAAGAAUAAAACACUUAACUGAACAUGACGCAAUGAAGUGCGUACACACCGCCCGUCACCCCUGUCACCAU
Molecule: ribosomal RNA, 377 nt
Filed under: Ovophis makazayazaya
Lineage: Eukaryota; Metazoa; Chordata; Lepidosauria; Squamata; Viperidae
Description: partial 12S ribosomal RNA
Source: RNAcentral